UUCGGUACGAUCGGUGACAGGUGGUGCAUGGUUGUCGUCAGCUCGUGUCGUGAGAUGUUGGGUUAAGUCCCGCAACGAGCGCAACCCUCGCCACUAGUUGCCAGCAUUCGGUUGGGCACUCUAGAGGGACUGCCGGCGACAAGUCGGAGGAAGGUGGGGAUGACGUCAAAUCAUCAUGCCCCUUAUGACCUGGGCUACACACGUGCUACAAUGGGCGGUACAAAGGGCUGCGAACCCGCGAGGGGGAGCGAAUCCCAAAAAGCCGCUCUCAGUUCGGAUUGCAGGCUGCAACUCGCCUGCAUGAAGCCGGAAUCGCUAGUAAUCGCGGAUCAGCAUGCCGCGGUGAAUACGUUCCCGGGCCUU
RNAcentral lists this ribosomal RNA (363 nucleotides) under uncultured Geobacillus sp. RNAcentral's name for it is "bacterial SSU rRNA". It matches the Rfam family "Bacterial small subunit ribosomal RNA", at positions 1018 to 1382 of the family's 1533-position model. Lineage: Bacteria; Bacillati; Bacillota; Bacilli; Caryophanales; Anoxybacillaceae. The record is from RNAcentral.